This 383-nucleotide ribosomal RNA is filed under the name uncultured bacterium. Its description in RNAcentral is "bacterial SSU rRNA". It matches the Rfam family "Bacterial small subunit ribosomal RNA", at positions 28 to 396 of the family's 1533-position model. The record is from RNAcentral.
AACGAACGCUGGCGGCGUGGAUUAGGCAUGCAAGUCGAACGUGAAAGGGGCUUCGGCCCUGAGUAAAGUGGCAAACGGGUGAGUAACGCGUGGAGAACCUGCCCGGAAGCGGGGGAUAACACUUCUAACGAGGUGCUAAUACCGCAUGUGUCUGCGUGAGCGCAUGCUCGCGCAGGUAAACGUGGCCUCUGCUCGCGAGCUACGGCUUCCGGAUGGCUCUGCGUCUCAUUAGCUAGUUGGUGGGGUAACGGCUCACCAAGGCGACGAUGGGUAGCUGGUCUGAGAGGAUGGUCAGCCACACUGGGACUGAGAUACGGCCCAGACUCCUACGGGAGGCAGCAGUCGAGAGGCUUCCGCAAUGGGGAAACCCUGACGGAGCGACG